GACUUCGGUCCUGAGUAAAGUGGCGCACGGGUGAGUAACACGUGGAUAAUCUGCCCUUAUGAUCGGGAUAACAGUCGGAAACGGCUGCUAAUACCGGAUACGCUCAAAAUGAACUUUUUGAGGAAAGGUGACCUCUGCUUGCAUGUUACCGUAUAAGGAUGAGUCCGCGUCCCAUUAGCUUGUUGGUGGGGUAAAGGCCUACCAAGGCAACGAUGGGUAGCCGAUUUGAGAGGAUGAUCGGCCACACUGGGACUGAAACACGGCCCAGACUCCUACGGGAGGCAGCAGUGGGGAAUAUUGCGCAAUGGGCGAAAGCCUGACGCAGCGACGCCGCGUGAGGGAUGAAGGUUUUCGGAUCGUAAACCUCUGUCAGAAGGGAAGAAACCGCACUGUGCUAAUCAGCAGUGCCUUGACGGUACCUUCAAAGGAAGCACCGGCUAACUCCGUGCCAGCAGCCGCGGUAAUACGGAGGGUGCAAGCGUUAAUCGGAAUUACUGGGCGUAAAGCGCACGUAGGCUGCUUUGUAAGUCAGGGGUGAAAUCCCACGGCUCAACCGUGGAACUGCCUUUGAUACUGCUUAGCUUGAAUCCGGGAGAGGGUGGCGGAAUUCCAGGUGUAGGAGUGAAAUCCGUAGAUAUCUGGAGGAACAUCAGUGGCGAAGGCGGCCACCUGGACCGGUAUUGA
Molecule: ribosomal RNA, 684 nt
Filed under: uncultured bacterium
Lineage: Bacteria
Description: bacterial SSU rRNA
Rfam family: Bacterial small subunit ribosomal RNA
Source: RNAcentral